CAGCAGCCGCGGGAAUACGGAGGGGGCUAGCGUUGUUCGGAAUUAUUGGGCGUAAAGGGCGCGUAGGCGGUUUGACAAGUUUGGUGUGAAAUCUAUGGGCUCAACCCAUAGCCUGCAUCGAAAACUGUCGGGCUUGAGUAUGGGAGAGGUGAGUGGAAUUCCGAGUGUAGAGGUGAAAUUCGUAGAUAUUCGGAAGAACACCAGUGGCGAAGGCGGCUCACUGGACGACUGUUGACGCUGAGGUGCGAAAGCGUGGGGAGCAAACAGGAUUAGAGACCCCCGUAGUCCCUGUCUCUUAUAC
RNAcentral lists this ribosomal RNA (301 nucleotides) under uncultured bacterium. RNAcentral describes it as "partial 16S ribosomal RNA". It matches the Rfam family "Bacterial small subunit ribosomal RNA", at positions 509 to 807 of the family's 1533-position model. The record is from RNAcentral.